Molecule: ribosomal RNA, 253 nt
Filed under: uncultured bacterium
Lineage: Bacteria
Description: partial 16S ribosomal RNA
Rfam family: Bacterial small subunit ribosomal RNA
Source: RNAcentral
UACGGAGGGUGCGAGCGUUGUCCGGAAUCACUGGGCGUAAAGGGCGCGUAGGCGGCCUGAUAAGUAGGGGGUGAAAUCCUGCGGCUUAACCGCAGGGCUGCCUUCUAAACUGUCAGGCUCGAGCACAGUAGAGGCAGGUGGAAUUCCCGGUGUAGCGGUGGAAUGCGUAGAGAUCGAGAGGAACACCUGCGGCGAAGGCGGGUUGCUGGGCUGACACUGACGCUGAUGCGCGAAAGCUAGGGGAGCGAACGGG